UACGUAGGGUGCAAGCGUUGUCCGGAUUCAUUGGGCGUAAAGAGCGUGUAGGCGGCCAGGUAGGUCGGUUGUGAAAACUGGAGGCUCAACCUUCAGACGUCGACCGAAACCAUCUGGCUAGAGUCCGGGAGAGGAGAGUGGAAUUCCUGGUGUAGCGGUGAAAUGCGCAGAUAUCAGGAAGAACACCCGUGGCGAAAGCGGCUCUCUGGAACGGUACUGACGCUGAGACGCGAAAGCGUGGGGAGCGAACAGG
Molecule: ribosomal RNA, 253 nt
Filed under: uncultured bacterium
Lineage: Bacteria
Description: partial 16S ribosomal RNA
Rfam family: Bacterial small subunit ribosomal RNA
Source: RNAcentral